UGCAUUCCCGUUAGAUCAUAAUUAUACAAUUAAAACUGUGGGCUAGUGAAAAGAUGCCAAAAUUGAUCCAAGUAUGUUACAUACGCACGUGUGUAAAUGUAUGACUAGAUAGGCAGCCAUAAACUAUAUCUUUACAGAUAAUUUAAGUUUAUUCCACAGGUCAACAUACCAGCACUACAAGAAUUCUGCUGCAAUCUCUGAGCUGAGCAACAGUCAGAGGAUUCCACUGGUACUUUUUAUAGGUAAAGCCUAUGCAUAUCUCUGGGGAUAAUCAGCAACAAGAAAUACCCACACUUGGGACAGUCAUAGCGGUUUAAUUUCCCCUAUACCACUUAGUAAAUUUCAAUGUUUCCCCGGGGAACACUACAAUCUCUGGGACUAUAGUUACAGCUGAUUUCCUAGAGAACACACAAAUGCUUUGGAGCUAAUUCUUUCUAUCCCUGGUAUGAAAGGGAGCCACAGGCCAACCUUUCCUAACUGCCCUUAGAUGUUAUACUCUGAGGUCCCAUAUGGUGAUGACUUCUGUUACCUAGGCAGAGGAAAUUGAGGUCACUGAGUGCUAACUUGGCAUUAGCUAGCAGAUGCCUGGCCUGGGCCUUAGCAUUCCAGUCUCUAGAACAUCUGGGUACCAGGCUUCCAAUAUACACUAAGCUCUCCAGCUGACUGUGCAUCUUGUCCCUCUUAAGUCAGGAAAUCAUUUGGACAUUAGAUACAGUAUACUGUUGUCUUGCGUGCUCUUCUCUCUCUAUCAUAGUGAGAAUAUUAACAAUAACCCAAGGGAACCUUUUUAAACAAUGCGUCUAUUUUCUAUCAAGAGAAGCCAAGACACUCUCCCGGGAAAAGAAUCUGAAAUGCUCCCUGGUAACUCUAGAAGAGACAUAAAAUUCAUCUCAGAUAUCUUGUGAGCAAAAGCGCAAGCUUUAGUAAGUACAUACUGCUCUUCACUGGUACUUUAAGCAAAAGCAACAACACUUAAUCACAUGCUGAUAUAAAUUUAUAUAACGCCUAUCCAACAACAACCAAGAAAACCAAAACACAAUUGACAGAAAUCUUUAUGGAUCACAUUGAGCACUGUGCUGUGCUGUGCUGAUACACAUUGUCUUAAUCUAUUCAACACCUUAUAGAAAAGACCUCUCAUAUGAAACGCUAGGCUUUGAAAUGGUUAAGCAACUCCAGUCCUUAAUUUUCUGAUUAUCAGCAAGUAUUUAUCAAUUGAGUAUCUACUGCGUUAACCACCUUUCUAGGCAUUGGGAACCUAAUAAAAAGAGAGGAGGUGAAAAUUCUGGCCUCAGAGAGUAGUAGUCUAUGGCAGUGGUUCUCAACCUUCCUAAUGUCGUGACCCUUUAAUACAAUUCAUGCUAUGGUAACCCCCAUAUCAUAAAAUUAUUUUCGCUGCUACUUCAUAACUGUAACUUUGGUACUGUCAUGAACCAGAAUGUAAAUAUCUCUGUUCCAAUGGUCUUAGGCAACCCCUGCGAAAGGGUCAUUUGACUCCCUUACAGAGCUGUGGUCCACAGGUUGAGAACUGCUGAUCUAGGGCAAGAUGGGCAAUGCCUAAUCACACAAAGAAAUUCUGUAACUUUACAUGGGAAUGGCUUCUAUAAAGAAAGCGAAAGAGGACAGCAUUAGUGAGGACCUGAGGAUGCUCUGAUGGGCAGUGAGGAAGGGCUUCUCUAGAGAACAAAUUCCUAAAGGUCAGGACAGAAUUGCUCAUGUCUGCUUUCCACACUCCGAAGAAGGAAAUGCAACACAUGGGAGGGAGAGAAGUCGAGAUGACAGAAAGCAGGAGAUGCAGGGAGAGGUAGCGUCAGGCAUGGCUCACUAGACCAUAGUCAGGAGAUGCAGGGAGAGGUAGUGUCAGGCACGGCUCACUAGACCAUAGUCAGAUGCAGGGAGAGGUAGUGUCAGGCACAGCUCACUAGACCGUAGUCAGGAGAUGCAGGGAGAGGUAGCGUCAGGCACAGCUCACUAGUCCGUAGUCAGGAGAUGCAGGGAGAGGUAGUGUCAGGCACAGCUCACUAUAGACCAUAGUCAGGAGAUGCAGAGAGCGAUAAUAUCAUGGAGGUCUCACUAGACCAUAGUCAGCAGGUUCAAGUUUAAUUUUGGGUUCAAAAUUGAAGGCCCCAGGAAAUCUCAAAACACAGGAAGUGAUAGGGAUCACCUUGGGUGUGUGGGAUGGAAAUGCAAGGAAGGUUAGAGGACUGUAGACCUCUCCUGCCAUCCCAUGAUGCCCUGCAGACCGAGAGACAGCCUGUGAUCUGCAGGGAUCCAGAAUGGAUUGCUGGUUUGUGCUUUGAAGAACUUGAGGCAAAAGAGACACAAUGUUUUUCUUUAUUUCUCUCUGGGAUAAGAAUGACUAGUGGGAAGUAAAUGUGGAGCAAACCAAUAAUUAUGGAAAGUUUAUUAUUAGACAUUUAAAUAAAAAUGCUGAUUGCCGGAGGUCACACAGCAAUAAAAUAGCUCAGCAAGAUGAGUCUACUCAUUUAAUAACUGGCAUACUACUUCAGUCAGUCACACUAUCAAGGAAAAUCUAACUGCAUCAGCCAUUCAGACACUACAUAGGAUCCUGUUUGGAAUGCCCAAACUCAUCAAGAGUUCACAGGCACAAAUUACUAAACUAGUUCUGCCUAACAUGAACAGAGACCUUGUAGCUUAAUUGGAAGGCAGACAACCAGUGUAGGCAGCAUGCAGGACCCAGAACAACAAUAUUGCCAUAGAGAAUCUCUGCAUGGGAUGGGGUUGCUGGGGCAGCAUAUGCAGGCCACUACAAGCACAAAGCCUGGCAAGCCUGCGCUCUGGAGGAGGAUCCUCAAGACAGAAAGCCCAGAGCGCAGCACGGUAUGUUUGGGUCAGCUGCUCUGUAACUAAGAAAACAAUCCGGCUGUGCUGCCAUGUGGCCCCCUUAAGGCACAACACUUAAUGCUGAGCUUUAUCUCGGGCAGGGUCCAAGUGUCUACUGAAGUCCUCCUCAGAUGUCUGAGGGUUUCCUCCCAUCGUACCAUCUUCAAUGAACCUUCUUAAAACCACCCAAAGUUACAUAUAAUCAGCUCCUCCCAAGCGCUUGAGUCUCUGCUCUGACAAAGGAGUUAAGUUAAGUUGGUCCGGCUUCAGUCAUCUCGGAUGCCAAUGUACACCAUUCUCUCCAGUGCAUGUUUUAUUGAGUUUAUGUAUUUCAAUAUUGAGGCAAUAAAAGAAAAACCCAAACGUGGUGUUUUGUCUUCUUUUGACAGACAGUAUAGUGCUAACCCAGCAGCAGCGUACAUGUACAGUUAGACCUCACUCAUCCUUAAGCUCCGGGCUCAACAAGCAGUGAACGACGGUGUGUGUAUUUACUUUGGAUGGCAUCAGGGUGGAAGAGCACACACCACCAGCUUCAAACAAUGGGAAGUCAGGCAGGAAUUUUAGAUGGCCUAGGUCCCCAGCGAAACACCAGUUACAGAGUAGACAACUGGGUUCAAACUUUAUGAAAACAGCCCUUUGCUUUUGUUGUUGACUAAAAGAAGAACUUGGGGAUUAGUUCAGAGACAGGUAAGAUGCUGCUUCGGAGCCUUGCUGUCUAAAUGCCUGUUUUACUUUUCGUUUUUUCUUUUGAAAACAGAUUGUCCUAGCUCUUUCGACCUUGCAAUCGAAAGAGAAACAAGCCUGCCUUCUGAAGAAUUGCCCUAAUGAGCUAGAUCUGCCCUACCAAGGGAGCCAUGAGACGGCCAGCCACAGAUGUACACUAAGCCUCUCCCUUCCUUCAAGUCCUGAGGAACACCCGUUCUUACACCUGCACAGGGUGGAAAGGAAUGCCAGCUGGAGAUGACUGAGGGGAAUGCGACAAGACACAGCAAAGUGCCACAGCCACGGCAGAAUGAGAAAUGCUUCCGGCAGAACCCGGGUGCCUGGCAGAGGGCUCUGUGGCCUCACCCGAGCACGGUGAAGAGCCAGCACAGUGCCUGAGGCUGAGUUUUCAUUUCAAAAUCAUGAUGCCACCAAAAGUGGGCAGGCCUGACCCAGGCGAACAAACUCCUCACCUGACAUUUAUCCUCACCACCAUGGAAGCAGCUCCAAGAGGGAGCUCAUGUGACAGAUACAAAAAAAAAAAAAAAAAAAAAAAAGAGGCUUCAAAGGGGACCUGUAGAGUGUCACAUGGUUCUUGGUGGAGUCUGACUAGCUCUUGUUUAGUUGCUACACGAUAUGAGUAACUAUUAGCCUGUAUUAUGGAAGGACUUCUUUAUUUCUAGUCUGAGACGAUGACAUUGAUCUGAAAGAUUCACCAAAGAGCUGCGUCUGCCCACCUCUUAUGCUGUGCACAGUUCUAUGUGUUGCAACUUUCUCUGUGCUAGGCAGGGCUCCAGGUCCUUCACAUGAAUUAAUUCUUUCAUCACACCACUCCUAGGAAGGCCAUCAUCACCCGUGUCACAAAUGAAGACAUUGGUGGAGAAAAGGGCAAUACUGUUUCAAGAUCCCAGCGCUUGCCGACUGCCUUUCAAGGAGGCAAGCCAAGCUACAGACAGGCGUUUUCCCCUAUCUUGUCUCCCAUUAUCUACCCCUUGGGGUAUGAAUUACAGUAAAACUCAUAAUUAACUAUGCUUUCAAGGACUUAAGAUCACUACUAGGCCUGUUGUUUGAAGGAACGAAAGAGAUGCAAGAAUUGCCUCACUGUCCUUAUCAUACAUCAAAAGUAUAUGCUCUACUAUGUUCAUAGCAGCAUUGUUUGUAAUAGCCAGAACCUGGAAACAACCUAGAUGCCCUUCAAAUGAAGAAUGGAUGAAGAAAGUAUGGAAUAUAUACAUAUUAGAGUACUACUCAGCAGU
Molecule: long non-coding RNA, 4799 nt
Organism: Alexandromys fortis (reed vole)
Lineage: Eukaryota; Metazoa; Chordata; Mammalia; Rodentia; Cricetidae
Exons: 3
Source: RefSeq, a predicted model, not a curated record